CAGGUAGGGACAUUUGGUCAAACGUCCAAUGGCGUAAAGCUACCAUCCAAGGGAUUACGACUGAAUGCCUCUAAGUUG
Non-coding RNA from Cordylochernes scorpioides, 78 nucleotides. The record is from the annotation of a GenBank genome assembly. NCBI's taxonomy places the organism in Eukaryota, Metazoa, Arthropoda, Arachnida, Pseudoscorpiones, Chernetidae.